This 210-nucleotide ribosomal RNA is filed under the name Clostridioides difficile. RNAcentral describes it as "partial 23S ribosomal RNA". It matches the Rfam family "Bacterial large subunit ribosomal RNA", at positions 844 to 1054 of the family's 2925-position model. The record is from RNAcentral. Lineage: Bacteria; Bacillati; Bacillota; Clostridia; Peptostreptococcales; Peptostreptococcaceae.
GAUAGCUGGUUCUCCCCGAAAUAGCUUUAGGGCUAGCCUCAAGGUGAGAGAUACGGAGGUAGAGCACUGAAUGUCCUAGGGGGUAUUGCACCUACCGAAGACUAUUAAACUCCGAAUGCCGUCAUCUUAUACUUGGGAGUCAGACUGUGGGUGAUAAGAUUCAUAGUCGAAAGGGCAACAGCCCAGAUCGUCAGCUAAGGUCCCUAAAUG